RNAcentral lists this ribosomal RNA (2466 nucleotides) under Triticum aestivum (bread wheat). RNAcentral describes it as "partial small subunit ribosomal RNA". The record is from RNAcentral. Lineage: Eukaryota; Viridiplantae; Streptophyta; Magnoliopsida; Poales; Poaceae.
AUGGAUCCCUUCUUCUUCCUCCUCCUAUUCAGCCAAAUCCUACUCUGCACAGCCGGUGACACCAUCAACUCCACCACACCCUUGUCCGGGUCACAGAAGAUCGUGUCCCAGGGCAACAAGUUCGCCGUGGGCUUCUACUCCCCAUCGCAGAGUAACACCACCUCUUCCACCUCCAGCAAUUACUACAUAGCCAUAUGGUACAGCAACAUACCACUGCUCACCACCGUGUGGAACACCGACGUGCCGGUGUCCGACCCGGCCACCGCCUCCUUGGAAAUCGCCCGUGACGGCAACCUUGUCCUCCUUGAUCAAGCCAAGAACCGGCUACUGUGGUCGACCAAUGUAAGUAUAGCCUCCAACUCCACCAUUGCUACCAUCAAGGACAGCGGUAGCCUCGAGCUCACCGAUGCCUCCAAUGCAUCGAUAGUUUAUUGGCAAAGCAUAGACCAUCCCACAAACACCUGGCUUCCGGGGGGCAAGCUCGGGCUGAACAAGACCACGGGUCUGAGCCAGAGGCUUAUUCCUUGGAAGAACAGCGCAGACCCAUCUCCUGGGUUGUCCUCUCUUGAGCUAGACCCCAACGGCACAACACAGUACUUCAUCCAGUGGAAUGAAUCCAUAAACUACUGGACCAGUGGCCCCUGGAACGGCAAUAUUUUCAGCCUCGUGCCAGAGAUGACGGCCAAUUUCAGAUACGACUUCCAAUUCGUCGACAACGCCACAGAAAGCUAUUUCUACUACUCGAUGAAGGAUGAUGCAGUCAUCUCGCGGUUCAUCAUGGACGUGACCGGACAGAUCAAGCAGCUGACAUGGGUGGAAUACUCACAGCAGUGGAUCUUGUUCUGGUCACAGCCGCGGAGGCAGUGUGAGGUGUAUGCACUCUGUGGGGCAUAUGGUAGCUGCAGUGAGGCUGCGCUGCCGUACUGCAACUGCGUCAAGGGGUUCAGCCAGAAGGUCCAGAGUGAUUGGGAUCUUCAGGAUUACAGUGGUGGGUGCAGGAGGAACGUACCAUUGCAGUGCCAGAUCAACUCGAGCUCCGCACAGACCAAGCCUGAUAAGUUCUAUACCAUGGCAGGCGUGAGGCUACCUGACAAUGCUCGGGGUGCAGUGGGCGCCAGCUUGAAAGAAUGUGAGCAGGUUUGUCUGAAAAGCUGUUCAUGCGAUGCUUACACUUACAAUACAACUGGCUGUUUUAUUUGGUCUGGGGACCUGGUAAACCUCCAAGAACAGUACAGUGGAAAUGGAGUUGGCACACUCUUCCUCAGGCUUGCAGCAUCCGAGCUGCAAGACCCAAAAAAGAACAAGGCAGUGAUCAUUGGUGCAGUUGUUGGUGGAGUUGCUGCAAUUCUGAUAAUCCUUGCCGUUGUGUUUUUCUUCCUAUAUCAGAAAUAUCGCCGAGAUAGGACUCUUCGGAUAUCAAAGACUGCUGGGGGCACGUUGAUUGCCUUCAGGUACAGUGAUUUGCAGCAUGUCACCAGCAACUUCUCAGAGAAGCUGGGGGGAGGUGCCUUCGGCUCGGUGUUCAAGGGGAAGCUCCCAGAUUCAACUGCUAUUGCUGUGAAAAGGCUCGAUGGGUUUCAUCAAGGGGAGAAGCAAUUCCGUGCUGAGGUAAGCACUAUUGGGACAACCCAGCAUGUUAAUUUGGUCCGCCUUCUUGGGUUCUGUUCUGAAGGGUCAAGGAGGCUGCUUGUGUAUGAGUACAUGCAAAAGGGCUCCCUGGAAGUGCAACUCUUCCCUGGUGAGACAACUGCAUUGAGCUGGGCCAUUAGGUACCAAAUUGCACUUGGAACAGCAAGGGGCCUAAACUACCUGCAUGAAAAAUGUAGGGAUUGCAUCAUACACUGUGAUGUCAAGCCAGAUAACAUUCUCUUGGAUGAUUCCUUUGUACCAAAAGUAUCCGACUUUGGCCUAGCAAAGCUCUUAGGCCGGGACUUCAGCCGUGUUUUAACGACAAUGAGAGGAACAAGGGGUUACCUUGCACCUGAAUGGAUCAGUGGCGUGCCCAUAACCGCGAAGGCAGAUGUAUUCAGCUAUGGCAUGAUGCUCCUUGAAAUCAUAUCAGGCAGGAGGAAUGCUGAUCAUGGAGAGGAGGGCAGGUCCACUUUCUUCCCAACCUUGGCUGCAAGCAAGCUCCAUGAAGGGGAUGUGCAGACCUUGUUGGACCCUAGGCUGAAAGGAGAUGCAAAUCCUGACGAGCUCACAAGAGCUUGUAAGGUUGCUUGUUGGUGCAUCCAAGAUGAUGAAAGCACUAGACCCACGAUGGGUCAGAUCGUCCAAAUCCUAGAGGGGUUUCUGGAUGUGAAUAUGCCCCCCGUUCCCAGGUCACUGAGAGCUCUUGGUGAAAGCCCUGAUGUCAUAAACUUCUUCUCAGAUCUGUCUUCAAGCCAAACUUCCCAGACGGAGAACAGCACAACUUCUCAAACACACAGUGCUACUUCAGGCAAUUCACAUUUCCAAAGUUCGUAA